AGUGAACGCUAGCGGUGCGCCUAACACAUGCAAGUCGAGUGUGCUCGCAAGAGUAACACGGCAGACGGCUGCGUAACACGUGGGUGAUCUGCCCUGCACUUCGGGAUAAGCCUGGGAAACUGGGUCUAAUACCGGAUAGGACUACUGCCUGCAUGGGUGGUGGUGGAAAGCUUUUGCGGUGUGGGAUGGGCCCGCGGCCUAUCAGCUUGUUGGUGGGGUGAUGGCCUACCAAGGCGACGACGGGUAGCCGGCCUGAGAGGGUGACCGGCCACACUGGGACUGAGAUACGGCCCAGACUCCUACGGGAGGCAGCAGUGGGGAAUAUUGCACAAUGGGCGCAAGCCUGAUGCAGCGACGCCGCGUGAGGGAUGACGGCCUUCGGGUUGUAAACCUCUUUCAGCACCGACGAAGCGCAAGUGACGGUAGGUGCAGAAGAAGGACCGGCCAACUACGUGCCAGCCGCCGCCGUAA
RNAcentral lists this ribosomal RNA (471 nucleotides) under uncultured bacterium. Its description in RNAcentral is "partial 16S ribosomal RNA". It matches the Rfam family "Bacterial small subunit ribosomal RNA", at positions 28 to 523 of the family's 1533-position model. The record is from RNAcentral.